AUUGAACGCUGGCGGCAGGCCUAACACAUGCAAGUCGAACGAGUGGCGGACGGGUGAGUAAUGUCUGGGAAACUGCCUGAUGGAGGGGGAUAACUACCGGACACGGUAGCUAAUACCGCAUACCAUCAGAUGUGCCCAGAUUGGAUUAGCUAGUUGGUGGGGUGACGGCUCACCAAGGCGACGAUGCCUAGCUGGUCUGAGAGGAUGACCGGCGACACUCGAACUGAGACCCGGUCCAGACUCCUGCGGGAGGCAGCAGUGGGGAGUAUUGCCCAAUGGGCGAAAGCCUGAUGCAGCCAUGCGGGGUGUAUGAAGAAGGCCUUCGGGUUGUAAAGUACUUUCAGCGGGGAGGCGUUACCCGCAGAAGAAGCACCGGCUAACGCCGUGCCAGCAGCCGCGGUAAUAC
RNAcentral lists this ribosomal RNA (406 nucleotides) under uncultured bacterium. Its description in RNAcentral is "partial 16S ribosomal RNA". It matches the Rfam family "Bacterial small subunit ribosomal RNA", at positions 30 to 526 of the family's 1533-position model. The record is from RNAcentral.